RNAcentral lists this ribosomal RNA (346 nucleotides) under uncultured bacterium. RNAcentral describes it as "partial 16S ribosomal RNA". It matches the Rfam family "Bacterial small subunit ribosomal RNA", at positions 338 to 683 of the family's 1533-position model. The record is from RNAcentral.
CCUACGGGGGGCUGCAGUGGGGAAUAUUGCACAAUGGGGGAAACCCUGAUGCAGCGACGCCGCGUGAGUGAAGAAGUAAUUCGUUACGUAAAGCUCUAUCAGCAGGGAAGAAAUACUGACCUUACGGUCAGCAGACGGUACCUGAGUAAGAAGCCCCGGCUAACUACGUGCCAGCAGCCGCCGUAUUACGUAGGGGUCAAGCGUUAUCCGGAUUUACUGGGUGGAAAGGGAGCGUAGACGGUGGGCCAAGACUGGAGUGAAAUGCCGCAGCUUAACUGCGGAACGGCUUUGGAAGCUGGCGAACUAGAGGGCGGGAGGGGUAAGAGGAGUUCCUAGUGUAGCGGUG